UACGUAGGGUGCAAGCGUUGUCCGGAAUUAUUGGGCGUAAAGAGCUCGUAGGCGGUUUGUCGCGUCGACUGUGAAAACCCGAGGCUUAACCUCGGGCCUGCAGUCGAUACGGGCAGACUAGAGUUCGGUAGGGGAGACUGGAAUUCCUGGUGUAGCGGUGAAAUGCGCAGAUAUCAGGAGGAACACCGGUGGCGAAGGCGGGUCUCUGGGCAUUAACUGACGCUGAGGAGCGAAAGCAUGGGGAGCGAACAGG
This 253-nucleotide ribosomal RNA is filed under the name uncultured bacterium. RNAcentral's name for it is "partial 16S ribosomal RNA". It matches the Rfam family "Bacterial small subunit ribosomal RNA", at positions 524 to 776 of the family's 1533-position model. The record is from RNAcentral.